RNAcentral lists this ribosomal RNA (2363 nucleotides) under Escherichia coli. RNAcentral's name for it is "partial 23S ribosomal RNA". It matches the Rfam family "Bacterial large subunit ribosomal RNA", at positions 582 to 2925 of the family's 2925-position model. The record is from RNAcentral. Lineage: Bacteria; Pseudomonadati; Pseudomonadota; Gammaproteobacteria; Enterobacterales; Enterobacteriaceae.
CGCUUAGGCGUGUGACUGCGUACCUUUUGUAUAAUGGGUCAGCGACUUAUAUUCUGUAGCAAGGUUAACCGAAUAGGGGAGCCGAAGGGAAACCGAGUCUUAACUGGGCGUUAAGUUGCAGGGUAUAGACCCGAAACCCGGUGAUCUAGCCAUGGGCAGGUUGAAGGUUGGGUAACACUAACUGGAGGACCGAACCGACUAAUGUUGAAAAAUUAGCGGAUGACUUGUGGCUGGGGGUGAAAGGCCAAUCAAACCGGGAGAUAGCUGGUUCUCCCCGAAAGCUAUUUAGGUAGCGCCUCGUGAAUUCAUCUCCGGGGGUAGAGCACUGUUUCGGCAAGGGGGUCAUCCCGACUUACCAACCCGAUGCAAACUGCGAAUACCGGAGAAUGUUAUCACGGGAGACACACGGCGGGUGCUAACGUCCGUCGUGAAGAGGGAAACAACCCAGACCGCCAGCUAAGGUCCCAAAGUCAUGGUUAAGUGGGAAACGAUGUGGGAAGGCCCAGACAGCCAGGAUGUUGGCUUAGAAGCAGCCAUCAUUUAAAGAAAGCGUAAUAGCUCACUGGUCGAGUCGGCCUGCGCGGAAGAUGUAACGGGGCUAAACCAUGCACCGAAGCUGCGGCAGCGACGCUUAUGCGUUGUUGGGUAGGGGAGCGUUCUGUAAGCCUGCGAAGGUGUGCUGUGAGGCAUGCUGGAGGUAUCAGAAGUGCGAAUGCUGACAUAAGUAACGAUAAAGCGGGUGAAAAGCCCGCUCGCCGGAAGACCAAGGGUUCCUGUCCAACGUUAAUCGGGGCAGGGUGAGUCGACCCCUAAGGCGAGGCCGAAAGGCGUAGUCGAUGGGAAACAGGUUAAUAUUCCUGUACUUGGUGUUACUGCGAAGGGGGGACGGAGAAGGCUAUGUUGGCCGGGCGACGGUUGUCCCGGUUUAAGCGUGUAGGCUGGUUUUCCAGGCAAAUCCGGAAAAUCAAGGCUGAGGCGUGAUGACGAGGCACUACGGUGCUGAAGCAACAAAUGCCCUGCUUCCAGGAAAAGCCUCUAAGCAUCAGGUAACAUCAAAUCGUACCCCAAACCGACACAGGUGGUCAGGUAGAGAAUACCAAGGCGCUUGAGAGAACUCGGGUGAAGGAACUAGGCAAAAUGGUGCCGUAACUUCGGGAGAAGGCACGCUGAUAUGUAGGUGAAGUCCCUCGCGGAUGGAGCUGAAAUCAGUCGAAGAUACCAGCUGGCUGCAACUGUUUAUUAAAAACACAGCACUGUGCAAACACGAAAGUGGACGUAUACGGUGUGACGCCUGCCCGGUGCCGGAAGGUUAAUUGAUGGGGUUAGCGCAAGCGAAGCUCUUGAUCGAAGCCCCGGUAAACGGCGGCCGUAACUAUAACGGUCCUAAGGUAGCGAAAUUCCUUGUCGGGUAAGUUCCGACCUGCACGAAUGGCGUAAUGAUGGCCAGGCUGUCUCCACCCGAGACUCAGUGAAAUUGAACUCGCUGUGAAGAUGCAGUGUACCCGCGGCAAGACGGAAAGACCCCGUGAACCUUUACUAUAGCUUGACACUGAACAUUGAGCCUUGAUGUGUAGGAUAGGUGGGAGGCUUUGAAGUGUGGACGCCAGUCUGCAUGGAGCCGACCUUGAAAUACCACCCUUUAAUGUUUGAUGUUCUAACGUUGACCCGUAAUCCGGGUUGCGGACAGUGUCUGGUGGGUAGUUUGACUGGGGCGGUCUCCUCCUAAAGAGUAACGGAGGAGCACGAAGGUUGGCUAAUCCUGGUCGGACAUCAGGAGGUUAGUGCAAUGGCAUAAGCCAGCUUGACUGCGAGCGUGACGGCGCGAGCAGGUGCGAAAGCAGGUCAUAGUGAUCCGGUGGUUCUGAAUGGAAGGGCCAUCGCUCAACGGAUAAAAGGUACUCCGGGGAUAACAGGCUGAUACCGCCCAAGAGUUCAUAUCGACGGCGGUGUUUGGCACCUCGAUGUCGGCUCAUCACAUCCUGGGGCUGAAGUAGGUCCCAAGGGUAUGGCUGUUCGCCAUUUAAAGUGGUACGCGAGCUGGGUUUAGAACGUCGUGAGACAGUUCGGUCCCUAUCUGCCGUGGGCGCUGGAGAACUGAGGGGGGCUGCUCCUAGUACGAGAGGACCGGAGUGGACGCAUCACUGGUGUUCGGGUUGUCAUGCCAAUGGCACUGCCCGGUAGCUAAAUGCGGAAGAGAUAAGUGCUGAAAGCAUCUAAGCACGAAACUUGCCCCGAGAUGAGUUCUCCCUGACUCCUUGAGAGUCCUGAAGGAACGUUGAAGACGACGACGUUGAUAGGCCGGGUGUGUAAGCGCAGCGAUGCGUUGAGCUAACCGGUACUAAUGAACCGUGAGGCUUAACCUU